Molecule: transfer RNA, 103 nt
Filed under: Legionellaceae bacterium
Lineage: Bacteria; Pseudomonadati; Pseudomonadota; Gammaproteobacteria; Legionellales; Legionellaceae
Description: tRNA-Arg
Source: RNAcentral
GCGAUGUGACGCAUCGCAAGGCAUUGAUAUAUAACACUUUUAAAACCAGAGUGCUUGGCUUCGAACUAAGGUGUCGGGGGCUCGAGUCCCUCCGAGCGCACCA